AACCUGAAUGCUACUACUAUAACUAUCUUCUCUCAUAAGCUAAGAAAAAAAAGGUGGUUACAUUUCCUUUUUCUUAUGCAACGUCCAGGUCAGGAUAUAUCAUCUUGGAGUCAUGAUAUGUGCGGUUGUUUUUCAGGCUCAUUGUAGGAUGACCACAGGAAAUUGGCUUCACAAGUGUAGAGGUUAAAAUUAGAAGUUUCAAUUGCUAAAAAA
This 213-nucleotide long non-coding RNA is filed under the name Hordeum vulgare. Its description in RNAcentral is "long non-coding RNA (HVUL_LNC015834)". The record is from RNAcentral. Lineage: Eukaryota; Viridiplantae; Streptophyta; Magnoliopsida; Poales; Poaceae.